UACGUAGGGGGCAAGCGUUGUCCGGAAUUAUUGGGCGUAAAGAGCGCGUAGGCGGUCCGAUAAGUCGGCUGUGAAAGUCAAGGGCUCAACCCUUGAAAGCCGGCCGAUACUGUCGGACUAGAGUCCGGAAGAGGCAAGUGGAAUUCCCGGUGUAGCGGUGAAAUGCGCAGAUAUCGGGAAGAACACCCGUGGCGAAGGCGGUUCUCUGGGACGGUACUGACGCUGAGACGCGAAAGCGUGGGGAGCGAACAGG
RNAcentral lists this ribosomal RNA (253 nucleotides) under uncultured bacterium. RNAcentral's name for it is "partial 16S ribosomal RNA". It matches the Rfam family "Bacterial small subunit ribosomal RNA", at positions 524 to 776 of the family's 1533-position model. The record is from RNAcentral.